GCUGGCGCUGGCCGCCUCCUUAACUAAUAUACACCGGAACGCAGUGGGCGUACUGCUGGGUGCAGUUGCAUUAGGUGUUCUAGUGGGAUAUCCUUUCGGAGGUUCCGCGUACUUCCUGUGGAGUCCGGCUGCGCCCUUCCAGCUUAUAUGCUUCGCUUUAUUGUUGAAUCUCGUUUUACAGUAUGCGUUUCUGAAAGAAGACAACCAAUAUCAAGUG
Long non-coding RNA from Papilio polytes (common Mormon), 217 nucleotides. RefSeq lists it as uncharacterized. Lineage: Eukaryota; Metazoa; Arthropoda; Insecta; Lepidoptera; Papilionidae. The transcript is spliced from 3 exons. The record is from RefSeq and is a predicted model, not a curated record.